AGAUCGACAAUAUUUAAAGAGAGAAAGUGAAGCUCGUUUCAGUGAGAAAUGGAAAAAAAUCUGUAGAAAUUAAAUUACCGCCAUUGAUUUGAAGUCAUUUGGUACAGUAACCGACCUUAGCUCAGUUGUAGAGCGGAGGACUGUAGUCGUGCCAGCAGGGUACAGGAACCGACCUUAGCUCAGUUGGUAGAGCGGAGGACUGUAGUCGUGCCAGCAGGUAAUCCUUAGGUCGCUGGUUCGAAUCCGGCAGGUCGGAAUUUUGGUUGCUUCUGAUUUUUGUUGUACUUUUUUGUUAUGGUUGCUCCUUGGCCUGGUCUAUGAUGCUUCCUCCGUCUUUUAAUACUCGCAAUGUUGAGAUGUGCACAAGAACAAGGAGGGGAGAGAAAUAGAGAGAGCUAAAAAGAAUCCCCGUGUGUUAGAGAGAGAAAGUGAUAAUAUAUUAGAAAAAAUGUCAACGUUGUAAGUAAUAGAGAACUUCCUAAAAUGGGAUAUGUUGCAAGUAUUAAAAAAACAGAGGAAGUAUAUUAUUAAGAACGGAGCCAGGUAAUAUAAUGUCUUAGCUGUAUGGGUGUAGCUGGUAUGUAAUAGAUUUGCGGGAGGACUGUAGUUGUGCAAACAGUAAUCCUUAGGUAUUUUGUUUUCUUAGGACCGAUGUUCUCUAAUUUGCCACAGUUGACCUUUUAUUAAUUGUCAUGGCAUAUUAUUAACCCUUGUGAGGCAAAAUUGGCAGAUAAUAACCCAGCCAAAUGGAAAUAUGUCUGAAUGUAUGGACUGCCUGUAACAAGCGUAAAAGAACCGACCUUAGCUCAGCUGGUAGAGCGGAGGACUGUAGUUAGUCAAACAGAUAAUCCUUAGGUCGCUGGUUGGAAUCCGGCAGGUCGGAUUUUUUUAUAUUUGGUUCCUUUGAUAAUUGUCUUACUAGGCUGGAUUGCUGUCUGAUCUAGCAGUGUUGACUUUGUAAUAAGUAUAUUAUUGAGUGCUACAUUCUAGAAUAUUAUGAAUAAACUUGUGUUGUUUAUAAUGUAUUCGCUGCAUCCAGGUACAGUAACCGACCUUAGCUCAGUUGGUAGAGCGGAGGACUGUAGUUGUGCCAGCAGGUAAUCCUUAGGUCGCUGGUUCGAAUCCGGCAGGUCGGAAUUUUGUUGCUUCUGAUUUUUGUUGUACUUUUUGUUAUGAUUGCUCCUUGGCCUGGUCUAUAAUACUUCCUCCGUUCUAAUACUCGCAAUGUUAAGAUGUGCACAAGGACCAAGGAGAGGAGAGAAAUAGAGAGAGCUAAAAAGAAUCCCCAUGUCUUAGGAGAGAGAAAGUGAUAAUAUAUUGACAAAAAUGUCAAAAGUAAUCGAGAACUUCCUAAAAUGGGAUAUGUUGCAAGUAUUAAAAAACUGAGGAAGUAUAAUGGAGCCACAUAAGAUAAUGUCUUAGCUGUAAAUGGUUGUAUGCUGGUAUGUAACAGAUUUGCGGGAGGACUGUAGUUGUGCAAGCAGUACUCCUUAGGACUUGGUUCGAUUCUGGCAGGUGAAAGUUUUGAAAUUUUGAUGCUUUAUUAUUUUGUUUUCUUAGGACCGAUGCUCUCUAAUUGGCCACAGUUGACCUUUAUUAAUCGUCAUGGCAUAUUAUCAACUCCUGUGAGGCAAAAUUGGCAGAUAAUAACCCAGCCAAAUGGAAAUCUUUUUGAAUGUUGUGGAUUGCCCACAGCAAGGGUACAAGAACCGACCUUAGCUCAGUUGGUAGAGCGGAGGACUGUAGUUGGUCAAACAGAUGAUCCUUAGGUCGCUGGUUCGAAUCCGGCAGGUCGGACAUUUUCAUUUUAUGCCUCUGAUAUUUUGUCUUACUUGGCCUGAUAGGUGUCCGAUCUAGCAAUGUUGACUUCUGUGAUAAGUAUAUUAUUGACUGCUAUGCAGCCAUUUGAAAAUAUCAUGAAUGUACUUAUGUUGUUUAUAAUGAAUUCGCUACAUCCAGGGUACAGAAACCGACCUUAGCUCAGUUGGUAGAGCGGAGGACUGUAGUUGUCCCAGCAGAGAAUCCUUAGGUCGCUGGUUCGAAUCCGGCAGGUCGGAGUUUUGUUGCUCUGAUUUUUGUGAUACUCCUAUUAGUCCUGAUUGCUCCUUGACCUGAUAUAUUAUUGAGAAUGGAGCCAUGUUACUCCCUCCAUUUUGAAAAGUUCUUCCUAGUUGACCAAUUUCCUUUCUCUUAUGAAGAAAAAGAAAAAGAGGGAGUAACAUGCGUCUGUGUCUUAGCUAUAUGGGUGUAUGCUGGUAAAUGGAUACCUUUUAGGGUAUGAGAACCGACCUUAGCUCAGCUGGCAGAGUGGAGGACUGUAUUGUUCAAAUAGUAAUCCUUAGGUUGCUGGUUCAAAUCUGACAGGUCGGACAUUUGAAGUUUUAUUGCUUCUUAAUUUGUUUUCUUAGGAAUGUUCUCUAAUCUGCCACUGCUGACCUUUGUAAAUUAUCAUGGCAUGUUUUAUAUUGUUGUGAAGCAAAGUAACCAGUUUAUAGCACACCAAAAAAGGGGAUGUUUAGACUAUUGGAUUGUCGAUAGUCAGGGUACAAGAACCAACCUUAGCGUUCAGUUGGUAGAGUGGAGCUGAGGACUGUAGUUGGUCAAACAGAUGAUCAUAUGGUCGCUAGUUCGAAUUUGGCAGGUUGGAAAUUUUCUUGUAUUGAUCUCCAGGUGGGCUGUUUUGUAGCUUCCAACAUGAUUUUUUUCCGAAAGAUCAAUAGUCUCUGGCUAUGAUUGUAGAAGGCAUGUAUGCUCGCUUAGUCUAUGAGACUAUUAUUUCACUGUUAAUCUGGUUGAUGCUUGUUAUCUCUGCAUCGUCUUGGGGUUUGAUGUGGAAUUAGGUACUAAUUAAUUUUUCUUACCAAAUCGCGCCAAGACAUGACCCUGAACUCUUUUUGAUGUUAUUGUUCUUUUUUCAAGCAUGUGAUUAUAAGUUUGUGAUUUUUCUUUUGUCUAUUUUGAUGCCUCGGAUCUUUCUACUAUUCAAUUAAGAAUUAUCUCUAGACUUCAUUAAAUAGCUUAGUUUCUCAGGAUUUAUCCUGGAAUUAGUCCUCAAUUUACAGCUUCUUGUUUUUCUUACAUGCUGAAGAUGAUGUUCUCCCGUCUGACAACAUGGACUUCAGCAUAAGAGUUUGCUGAGGAUUUUGUAGUGAAAUUAUAAUUACUAACAUCCCACAGCCUACGCAAAUCGGAGAUUAAUGGAAUGUAAUGGAUUACUCCAUGGUAACUGAUGCAAGAACUGACCUUAGCCAAGAUGAUAGAGCAGAAACUGUACAUUUGGCUGUAUAUACAAAACAUUUUAGGCUCUGGGUGGUACGUGGACAUUCUUUUAUUGCUGAUGCUGGGACACACCUUUGUUUCACAAGUUGUUCACCUGCUGAGGAUGUUGAGAAGUAAAAUUAAAAAAAUGCUCUCGUUGAGAAUCGAACUCAAGACCUCCCGCUUACUAAACGGGUGCUCUAACCAACUGAGCUACGAGAGCAACUAAAGACAUCCUUUUAUAUAUGACUUCUGGAUGGUAAUUACUUAGAUAUUGCUGUUUAGUUUGCACCAUUUUUUCAACAACACCGAAUAAUAAUGGUAAGUUGCAUCUCUUUCUGUUAUCAGCUAUAGAGCAGCUGCAUACACAUAUGACCUUCAUGUGUAUGAUAAUAUCUUUGUUCCCAAUUGUAAGAAUGAUUUAGCUUGGUAUGAUUAUCAUCUACUCUUUGUUAUUGCAAUGUGAUCGUAUGCGACAUUCUUUUAAUUAUUCACCAUCUUGAUUUUCCUUUACCACAAAAUCUACUUUUUGUUAUGUUCUUGAAUGAUGAUCAAUAGUUACUCCUUAAUAUAUGUGACUUAACUGUAGAAAAUUUACUUUUAGUUCAGGGUUUGUGUUGACACUAUGACAUCAAAUUCUUAUCUUCAUGUGUUUUCACUAGUUUUUUCUAUGUUGGGUUGCUUUUGUUUUGUAAGAAGGAUGAACUUUUUGAUGCAGAGAGUUGGUUUGUUGCUGGUUAACUUUUGCUUUUUAAUGCAACUGUGGUGCAGUUGAUUAUCAUGUUAGUCCAAAAUGAGAGCACAGCAGUCUGCCAAGGAGGGAUGUAGAAAAAUAAUACACAAAAGAUGCUCUCGUUGAGAGUCGAACUCAAGACCUCCCGCUUACUAAACGGGUGCUCUAACCAACUGAGCUACAAGAGCACAUUAUGUCAUUUUAAUUUCAUUUGACACUCUGGGCGGAAAGAAUUUUACCCUUCACUUCAGUUGUCAGUUUUUUUUUAUAUACUUCGUCUGUCUUUUUUUUUACUUGCAACACUUUUUUUUUUUUCAUCAACUCCAAUGCAAAAAUUUGGGUAGGAGAGAGGUAGAGACAGGGAACAAAAACUCGGCCGUUCCGUUCUGGAACGGCCGCUUUGUAACGGAUUUCAGAGAGGCCGUUCCGUUAAAUACCGUUCUAGAACGGUGAUUUGGAAUUCACACCAAACUCGGCGCGAUGGCGUUACGUAACGGUGUAACGGCGUUCCAGAACCGUUACAAUCACGUAAUGUCCGUUAUUUGAAGAAGACCAGUUCUUUUGGUCGAGGAAGAAGAAGAGCCAACGCAAGAUCUAUAGAUCUGAGUUAAAAUUUGAAAGUAAAACAUGUUUUUUUAUUAAAAUUAAAGCUUACCGAGGAUGUAGAACUCAAAUUUGAGUAAAACCCCUCCUUUAAUUUCAUUAGGUUACUGCUAAUCGAACACUAAAUUGCAAACCCUAAUUUCGAAAAAACCCUAAUAUGCAUUGGGAUGCAACGCUGCUUCUUCGGUCAUGGCAGAGAAGGUCGACGAGUCAUCUUCGGCGGCUUCUAGCACUGUAGCUUCCGGUGGUUGGCUUGUUUGCAGGUUAGUGCUUGCUGGUUUUCUUUCUUUUAUACCGAUCAUCUUCUUCUUUUCUCUCUUCUCUUUUUCUUUUUUAUUUUGUGACUGCCAGUCACGUGAUAAUUGCAACUCAUAUAGGAACUCUUUCUCUCUCUUCUUUUCAUCCCUUUUUAUUUUUUCUUUCCCUUUUAGUUUUUAUUCCCUCACGUGGAAUCACCCAUUUUCAUCCUUUUUUAAUUUUUUUUAAUGACAAUCUUACACAUAAGUAUGUUCAAAUAUCAUCAUAGUACCUCAAAUAUUGUAUUUAUAAGAGUUCUGGACAUAAUAUGAUAUAGAAAGUAAAAUAGAAGAAAAACAAAGUUUAAAUGUCACUUGUGUGAUUUUUUUUUUAAAAUUCACGCCGCGACGGCCGCGAAACGUUCUAUUUCCCCGUUACAAGCCGUUCCCGCGAUAACGCGACCGUUCCCGCGAACGCGACCGCGUUUUUUUUCUAUGGGUAGAGAGGAAAAAAAGAGAGGGUCCCAUGUGAUUGGAGAGAGAUACAUAGAAAGGAAAAGCAAAAGUGGAAAGUGUUGCAAGUAAUUAAUUAUUUCCCUUUUAGGAAAGUGUCGCAAGUAAAAAAAACGGAGGAAGUAUAUCCUUUGCAUUUGUUUUCUGUCACUUACUUACAGGUUUUUGUUUCUGUUGUCACUUGUCACCUAAAACAGGUCCAGCCGGGUGAUCCCCGGUAUUGUCUCGGUACCGAAGACCCUGUAUUCGGAAAUGCUUGAGCAGUCGGCUUACAUGCAAUCGACGGGAAGAUUGUCAAUGGUCGGAAGUCGGAACCUUAAUGGAUGUUAUGAAUGCAAAGUCUCAAAGAACACAUCAGUUUAUUACUUCCUCCAUUCCAAUAUGAACUUCACACUUGCCUUUUCAAGGUCAAAGUUCACAGGUGAUGCUGUGAUAUUAAAAGUACUCACAGUAAGCAUCCUUCAUGCUUAGUUAUCUGAUCUAAGCUCACAAGCCUUCGUAAUGUCUGUUUCCCUACUGCUGGAAUCUGGAUAAACGAUGUUACUGUCGGACCUCAGCUGUGUAACUACGAGUUCAACACCAACAAUCAUAUAAACAUUUGUAGCUAGAGCCUAGAGGGCUCAAAUAUGUGUGGUCACGUAUAUCGUAGAUGUUCAGUGCCACCUCUACACUCAAACAAGUACUAUGAAAUCAAUAUGAGUCUAGCCAAUACUAUGGUUAGACGCACGUAUUUAUCCUUACUCGUUGUCUCAGAGAAGCAAAUGAUAUGUUCAAUAUGCAUAAUGUAAGUACCUAAUCUCACUACUAACCUUUGGCAAAAACAUUC
Long non-coding RNA from Beta vulgaris subsp. vulgaris (sugar beet), 6169 nucleotides. RefSeq lists it as uncharacterized. Lineage: Eukaryota; Viridiplantae; Streptophyta; Magnoliopsida; Caryophyllales; Amaranthaceae. The transcript is spliced from 5 exons. The record is from RefSeq and is a predicted model, not a curated record.